Molecule: ribosomal RNA, 423 nt
Filed under: Triticum aestivum (bread wheat)
Lineage: Eukaryota; Viridiplantae; Streptophyta; Magnoliopsida; Poales; Poaceae
Description: partial small subunit ribosomal RNA
Source: RNAcentral
AUGGCCGGUCGGUUAGUGCUACUCAAUUCAGUCCUCUCGGCGUUGACCAUCUACUGGAUGACAGUGCACCACCUGUCGGCCUGGGUGCGCCGCCAUAUUGACAAGCUUCGGCGGGCUUGGUUAUGGCGUGGCCAGGAGUCGUGUCAGGGUGGCCACUGCAAGGUGGCUUGGCCUCGGAUAUGCAGGCCUCGUGACCUCGGUGGGCUGGGCAUUCUAGACCUUGAUCGUUUAGGGGCUGCCUUGCGGCUGCGAUGGCUGUGGUGGGAGCGCACGGCACCCAGCAAGCCCUGGAUUAGGCUGCCUGUGCCCUGCAAUCUGGACGAGAGGCUGCUCUUCGCCGCGGCCACUUCGGCCACUGUCAAGGAUGGACGUUUGGCAUCGUUUUGGAUGGACAGCUGGCUGCAAGGUGAGGCCCCCUUUUGA